CCUACGGGAGGCUGCAGUGAGGAAUAUUGGUCAAUGGGCGAGAGCCUGAACCAGCCAAGUCGCGUGAGGGAGUACUGCCCUAUGGGUUGUAAACCUCUUUUGUCGGGGAGCAAAAGCCGGACGUGUCCUGCUGUGAGAGUACCCGAAGAAAAAGCAUCGGCUAACUCCGUGCCAGCAGCCGCGGUAAUACGGAGGAUGCGAGCGUUAUCCGGAUUUAUUGGGUUUAAAGGGUGCGCAGGCGGAUUUUUAAGUCAGCGGUAAAAUCGUGGGGCUCAACCCCAUCCAGCCGUUGAAACUGGGGAUCUAGAGUGUGCGAGAGGUAUGCGGAAUGCGUGGUGUAGCGGUGAAAUGCUUAGAGAUCACGCAGAACCCCGAUUGCGAAGGCAGCAUACCGGUGCACAACUGACGCUCAGGCACGAAAGCGUGGGUAUCGAACAGGAUUAGAUACCCUAGUAGUC
RNAcentral lists this ribosomal RNA (458 nucleotides) under uncultured bacterium. Its description in RNAcentral is "partial 16S ribosomal RNA". It matches the Rfam family "Bacterial small subunit ribosomal RNA", at positions 338 to 795 of the family's 1533-position model. The record is from RNAcentral.